UACGGAGGAUCCGAGCGUUGUCCGGAUUUACUGGGCGUAAAGAGCGCGCAGGCGGUCGUUCAAGUCGCGUGUGAAAGCCCCCGGCUCAACUGGGGAGGGUCACGCGAUACUGAUCGACUCGAAGGCAGGAGAGGGAAGUGGAAUUCCCGGUGUAGUGGUGAAAUGCGUAGAUAUCGGGAGGAACACCAGUGGCGAAGGCGACUUCCUGGCCUGUUCUUGACGCUGAGGCGCGAAAGCUAGGGGAGCAAACGGG
This 253-nucleotide ribosomal RNA is filed under the name uncultured bacterium. Its description in RNAcentral is "partial 16S ribosomal RNA". It matches the Rfam family "Bacterial small subunit ribosomal RNA", at positions 524 to 776 of the family's 1533-position model. The record is from RNAcentral.